Oncorhynchus tshawytscha (Chinook salmon) is the source of this 2140-nucleotide long non-coding RNA. Lineage: Eukaryota; Metazoa; Chordata; Actinopteri; Salmoniformes; Salmonidae. The record is from Ensembl.
CAAAAAUACAGAUUUCCGAUUGUUAUGAUAACUUGAAAUCGGCCCUAAUUAAUCAGCCAUUCCGAUUAAUCGGUCGACCUCUAACCUAAACCAAAGCUUCCUGGGUCUGUUCUCUUCUCUCUGACCGUGGUGGACACCCUACUGAGCUUGUUCUCCCGGGAGACACCUCCCUCUUGGGCUAGCACCUCACCAGGCACCACAUCUGUCUGCUAGUCCAGAUCGCCCACUGGUCUUACAACCGCCUCCUCUGGCCUGUGGUGGUUCUGACUGGGCUAGACCACUACUGGACUGAGACCACUUCGCUCUGGGGCGAAGUUAGAGAUCUAGGAUCAGCUUCCCAGUCUCCCCAAUCCUGGCGGUAACCAUUAGCGGGCAAAAUGCUAAACUCACCCAGCAUCUCCAUCUAGGGGCAACUUCACCCUACACCAUGAGGACUCCAUGCUGGGAUCUAAAGAUCGUGUUCUUAGCGGUCAUCUCUCUGCUGUGGAUUGUGGCCCUGCUCUAUGUGUUCCUGGUGUCUGGGGUCAUUCUAGUGUUGCGGAACCAGUCUUUUCACCAGCUGCAUCAGUGCUGGGUGUUCACUAGCGCUCAUACCUCAGUUGGCCGAAGUGCUGCUACUGACUGUGGCCUGUGCAGUGCUGUACGUUCAUAGCCACACAGGGUCUACUAUGGGGAUCCACAGGGGUGGAAGGAUGCUCACAUGGAUUCAUCCUCCAUUUUGGAGUCACACUGGCAGGCAGUGCAGAGUAGAGGUGUUUCGCCAGGUGUUGUGGAUUAUCCUCAGAGUGGGCUCUGUUCCUGGUGUUCCUGCCUGUGUCUGGUCUUCCAAGUUGGGAUCCCUAGAUACCUGGGGCUGAAUGAUCCCUGGCUCUGUUUACUCAAUAGCUUCCUUCUUGGGGUUGUGUUGUGCGUGUGCUGCCUGGCUAGCAUUUCAGCUAGCUCAGGGCUCAGUGACUACUGACAGACCUACUGCACCACAUGAUGCUCUGGAGGAGCUACACUUGUCCCCUAAUGCUUAACGCCACACUGAGCUGUAACUGAUGCCUUAAGGGCCACUCUGUAAGUCCAGUGACAAGACAAACAAUGGAGUCCAUAUAUUGUAGGUCCAUUGUUUUUUUUGUCAUUAUCAGGCGAGAGAGCUGUACAAAUCUUAACAGGGUAUUUAUAAAUCACACUCUUGGUCUCGACUUGUAAGAUUGUCGUAUCUCAUGAAAUAUUAAAUAUUACACAACGCAAGGUUUGGUUCUGGGUACCGAGAAUAAUAAUAAGACCGACUGGUCAGUUGUCACUCAUGUUAACUUGUUUUUAACAUGAACACAAAAAUAUCUGCAUAUUCACAUAGUGAUGUGUAGGCCAUUGUUGUAUUUUGGAUAAUGAUGUAUACAAUGUAAUGAGUUAAUUUUAUGAUGUACAGUUCUGUUUUUUGUACUCUAGUUAGUCUAAACUUUGACUGGCUGAUGUACAGCUAAUUGCCUAUGAGGGAUAAUAAAGAUAAUCUAUUCUACUUUAAGCUAUCAGUGAUCGUCUACGACAACACAUGACAUCAGUCUCGACUCCCAAAGAAAAGAAGAUUCCCGACACCAAUUGUGACACUACAGAACUUUACUUGAACGUGAUCCAAGUUCAUUGUUUAUACAGUGUAUAUUUACAAGAUGUGAAAUAAGGGCGGGAGGAAAAACACAACACGAGAUAUACAACUGAGGUAUUCGCUAAAAGCAAGUACAGGUAUGUCGUCAUCAUUUACUAGUAUAUAUCAAUUAUGAUCCACGAUUAAAGACGCAGUGUCCUCUGCUUAAAAAACAUUUUAUAUCACAACAUGAGGUAGGAGAACAGUGUCUCGUUUCAUGCAACAAAAAAAAGUCUCAAUCACACUGUAUCGUUGUUGGCAACAUGGUAUGCAAUGAUCAUACAUAGACACUCACUGCCAUACAGGUUUCUGAAGAAUAAAAAGCCAUAAAAAGAUAGUUUAAAGAAGAAAUGUUAUGAUUUGUCAGGUGUAGCCUAAUAACUCUAAACUGAAAACAUGGCAUGUUUAUCCCAGGCACACAUAAUAUUAAGAACCAUUUUGUGAAAUCAUUAACAAGAUGGGACCUAGCUAGGACAGGGUGUAAUGUCCAGGUCCCACGCUUGUAGAUAAGGG